AUUGAACGCUGGCGGCAGGCCUAACACAUGCAAGUCGAGCGGAUGAAGGGAGCUUGCUCCUGGAUUCAGCGGCGGACGGGUGAGUAAUGCCUAGGAAUCUGCCUGGUAGUGGGUGAUAACGUCCGGAAACGGGCGCUAAUACCGCAUACGUACUGAGGGAGAAAGUGGGGGAUCUUCGGACCUCACGCUAUCAGAUGAGCCUAGGUCGGAUUAGCUAGUUGGUGGUGUAAAGGCCUACCAAGGCGACGAUCCGUAACUGGUCUGAGAGGAUGAUCAGUCACACUGGAACUGAGACACGGUCCAGACUCCUACGGGAGGCAGCAGUGGGGAAUAUUGGACAAUGGGCGAAAGCCUGAUCCAGCCAUGCCGCGUGUGUGAAGAAGGUCUUCGGAUUGUAAAGCACUUUAAGUUGGGAGGAAGGGCAGUAAGUUAAUACCUUGCUGUUUUGACGUUACCAACAGAAUAAGCACCGGCUAACUUCGUG
RNAcentral lists this ribosomal RNA (484 nucleotides) under uncultured bacterium. Its description in RNAcentral is "partial 16S ribosomal RNA". It matches the Rfam family "Bacterial small subunit ribosomal RNA", at positions 30 to 507 of the family's 1533-position model. The record is from RNAcentral.